AUUGAACGCUGGCGGCAUGCCUUACACAUGCAAGUCGAACGGCAGCACGGGUGCUUGCACCUGGUGGCGAGUGGCGAACGGGUGAGUAAUACAUCGGAACAUGUCCUGUAGUGGGGGAUAGCCCGGCGAAAGCCGGAUUAAUACCGCAUACGAUCUACGGAUGAAAGCGGGGGACCUUCGGGCCUCGCGCUAUAGGGUUGGCCGAUGGCUGAUUAGCUAGUUGGUGGGGUAAAGGCCUACCAAGGCGAGGAUCAGUCGCUGGUCUGAGAGGACGACCAGCCACACUGGGACUGAGACACGGCCCAGACUCCUACGGGAGGCAGCAGUGGGGAAUUUUGGACAAGGGGCGAAAGCCUGAUCCAGCAAUGCCGCGUGUGUGAAGAAGGCCUUCGGGUUGUAAAGCACUUUUGUCCGGAAAGAAAUCCUUGGCCCUAAUACGGUCGGGGGAUGACGGUACCGGAAGAAUAAGCACCGGCUAACUACGU
RNAcentral lists this ribosomal RNA (485 nucleotides) under uncultured bacterium. RNAcentral describes it as "partial 16S ribosomal RNA". It matches the Rfam family "Bacterial small subunit ribosomal RNA", at positions 30 to 506 of the family's 1533-position model. The record is from RNAcentral.